AUUGAACGCUGGCGGCAUGCCUUACACAUGCAAGUCGAACGGCAGCACGGGAGCAAUCCUGGUGGCGAGUGGCGAACGGGUGAGUAAUAUAUCGGAACGUGCCCAGUCGUGGGGAUAACGUAGCGAAAGCUACGCUAAUACCGCAUACGAUCUACGGAUGAAAGCGGGGGAUCGCAAGACCUCGCGCGAUUGGAGCGGCCGAUAUCAGAUUAGGUAGUUGGUGAGGUAAAGGCUCACCAAGCCGACGAUCUGUAGCUGGUCUGAGAGGACGACCAGCCACACUGGGACUGAGACACGGUCCAGACUCCUACGGGAGGCAGCAGUGGGGAAUAUUGGACAAUGGGCGAAAGCCUGAUCCAGCCAUGCCGCGUGUGUGAAGAAGGUCUUCGGAUUGUAAAGCACUUUAAGUUGGGAGGAAGGGUUAGUAACCGUAAUACGUUAGCUACUUUGACGUUACCGACAGAAUAAGCACCGGCUAACUUCGUGCCAG
This 490-nucleotide ribosomal RNA is filed under the name uncultured bacterium. RNAcentral's name for it is "bacterial SSU rRNA". It matches the Rfam family "Bacterial small subunit ribosomal RNA", at positions 30 to 511 of the family's 1533-position model. The record is from RNAcentral.